UGCAAGUCGAGCGGUAAGGCCCUUUCGGGGGUACACGAGCGGCGAACGGGUGAGUAGCACGUGAGUAAUCUGCCCUUCACUUCGGGAUAAGCCUCGGAAACGGGGUCUAAUACCGGAUACGACACUUUUACGCAUGUAAUGGGUGUGGAAAGUUUUUUCGGUGGGGGAUGUGCUCGCGGCCUAUCAGCUUGUUGGUGGGGUAAUGGCCUACCAAGGCUUCGACGGGUAGCCGGCCUGAGAGGGUGACCGGCCACACUGGGACUGAGACACGGCCCAGACUCCUACGGGAGGCGGCAGUGGGGAAUAUUGGACAAUGGGCGGAAGCCUGAUCCAGCAACGCCGCGUGAGGGAUGACGGCCUUCGGGUUGUAAACCUCUUUCAGCGGGGACGAAGCGCAAGUGACGGUACCCGCAGAAGAAGCACCGGCCAACUACGUGCCAGCAGCCGCGGUAAUACGUAGGGUGCGAGCGUUGUCCGGAAUUAUUGGGCGUAAAGGGCUCGUAGGCGGUUUGUCGCGUCGGGAGUGAAAACGCCGGGCUUAACUCGGUGCUUGCUUUCGAUACGGGCAGACUAGAGGCAUGCAGGGGAGAACGGAAUUCCUGGUGUAGCGGUGAAAUGCGCAGAUAUCAGGAGGAACACCGGUGGCGAAGGCGGUUCUCUGGGCAUGUCCUGACGCUGAGGAGCGAAAGUGUGGGGAGCGAACAGGAUUAGAUACCCUGGUAGUCCACACCGUAAACGUUGGGCGCUAGGUGUGGGAUCCAUUCCACGGGUUCCGUGCCGCAGCUAACGCAUUAAGCGCCCC
This 802-nucleotide ribosomal RNA is filed under the name uncultured Nocardioides sp. RNAcentral's name for it is "bacterial SSU rRNA". It matches the Rfam family "Bacterial small subunit ribosomal RNA", at positions 56 to 870 of the family's 1533-position model. The record is from RNAcentral. Lineage: Bacteria; Bacillati; Actinomycetota; Actinomycetes; Propionibacteriales; Nocardioidaceae.